This 497-nucleotide ribosomal RNA is filed under the name uncultured bacterium. Its description in RNAcentral is "partial 16S ribosomal RNA". It matches the Rfam family "Bacterial small subunit ribosomal RNA", at positions 28 to 507 of the family's 1533-position model. The record is from RNAcentral.
GAUGAACGCUGGCGGCGUGCCUAAUACAUGCCAGUCGAGCGAACAGACGAGGAGCUUGCUCCUCUGACGUUAGCGGCGGACGGGUGAGUAACACGUGGAUAACCUACCUAUAAGACUGGGAUAACUUCGGGAAACCGGAGCUAAUACCGGAUAAUAUAUUGAACCGCAUGGUUCAAUAGUGAAAGACGGUUUUGCUGUCACUUAUAGAUGGAUCCGCGCCGCAUUAGCUAGUUGGUAAGGUAAAGGCUUACCAAGGCAACGAUGCGUAGCCGACCUGAGAGGGUGAUCGGCCACACUGGAACUGAGACACGGUCCAGACUCCUACGGGAGGCAGCAGUAGGGAAUCUUCCGCAAUGGGCGAAAGCCUGACGGAGCAACGCCGCGUGAGUGAUGAAGGUCUUCGGAUCGUAAAACUCUGUUAUUAGGGAAGAACAAAUGUGUAAGUAACUAUGCACGUCUUGACGGUACCUAAUCAGAAAGCCACGGCUAACUACGUG